UGGGGAAUAUUGCACAAUGGGCGCAAGCCUGAUGCAGCCAUGCCGCGUGUAUGAAGAAGGCCUUCGGGUUGUAAAGUACUUUCAGCGGGGAGGAAGGGAGUAAAGUUAAUACCUUUACUCAUUGACGUUACCCGCAGAAGAAGCACCGGCUAACUCCGUGCCAGCAGCCGCGGUAAUACGGAGGGUGCAAGCGUUAAUCGGAAUUACUGGGCGUAAAGCGCACGCAGGCGGUUGAUUGAGUCAGAUGUGAAAUCCCCGGGCUUAACCCGGGAAUUGCAUCUGAUACUGGUCAGCUAGAGUCUUGUAGAGGGGGGUAGAAUUCCAGGUGUAGCGGUGAAAUGCGUAGAGAUCUGGAGGAAUACCGGUGGCGAAGGCGGCCCCCUGGACAAAGACUGACGCUCAGGUGCGAAAGCGUGGGGAGCAAACAGG
This 429-nucleotide ribosomal RNA is filed under the name Chloroflexota bacterium. RNAcentral's name for it is "Chloroflexi bacterium partial 16S ribosomal RNA". It matches the Rfam family "Bacterial small subunit ribosomal RNA", at positions 355 to 776 of the family's 1533-position model. The record is from RNAcentral. Lineage: Bacteria; Bacillati; Chloroflexota.